AAUGCAAAUGUAUUACUUUUGUUUGCUUUUACAUACGGAAAUAUGGAUACAUUAUACGUGGACAUAAAAUUAGCCCCUUCCACCGUAAACUGAGAGAAAGAAAUCUGGAGCUGCGAAGUCACCUUGUAGAGGGCUUCACUAAGUGUUACAAGUCGGCAGUUGAUAAACUGCAAAGCUCGACAUUCCAUCUCAGCAGAGCACAAACAGCAGCACAGGAUGUCUCACACAAUACGAGAUUGAUGCUGGAAGACCUCACCACUCUGUCAACAUUAUUAGACAGCAUUCUAGGAUCAGAAAAACUUAUACCUCUUAAUGUUAAUGUUAAAUAUACAGACGAAUCAACCUCCUAGGAUAAUGUUGCACUUGUCAAAGUCUCUACUUGGCUAAUUAAAUUCUUUCCAGUCAGAUGUACAAUCGUUUUCAAUAGAAAGUCUUAGCUUCUCUCUUCUGAAGGACCCUCCACAGUGUCCUACCCAGAGGUUUGGAUGUUCAUUACAGAAAUCCACUGAGCCAAGUUAGUGCAGGUGCAAAGUUGAAUGGAUCGAUCCUGUACCCCCAUCAUUACCCUUAAAGUAACACUGCACCUGUACUUGCAUCACUCAGUGGAUUCUCCUAACACCAAAACACCUCUGAGCCUGUGCAGAGGAGAGAGAGUUCUUGCUGCUAGUCUCCAUUACAGCUGUUAUUUGGCACAUCACUUGUGACUCUCCAAAUGAAGGCUGCAAAUGGUACUAAACAGGAUCAGUUGUAAGAGUAACUGUGUCUUACCGUUACACAUAUUUGGGAACUAGUAACUACAGUAGACUUAAUCAUUUGUCUGUCAGUGUGCAAUACAAGGCCUGCAAAAUGCAUAAAACAAGCCUGCCAAAAAAGCAGAUUUGUAGUUUCAAGGUUAGGGAUUUUAGAAAGUAGUAUUGCUUGGUUAAGAAAGGAAAUGAAAGUUAACGAAAUAGAUUUUGUGCUGUGUUGCAA
Molecule: long non-coding RNA, 972 nt
Organism: Orbicella faveolata
Lineage: Eukaryota; Metazoa; Cnidaria; Anthozoa; Scleractinia; Merulinidae
Source: RefSeq, a predicted model, not a curated record